RNAcentral lists this ribosomal RNA (315 nucleotides) under uncultured eukaryote. RNAcentral describes it as "partial 18S ribosomal RNA". It matches the Rfam family "Eukaryotic small subunit ribosomal RNA", at positions 1470 to 1796 of the family's 1831-position model. The record is from RNAcentral.
CCCUUAGACGUUCUGGGCCGCACGCGCGCUACACUGACCAGUGCAACAAGCAUCCGUCCUUGGCCGACAGGCUCGGGCAAUCUUUGAACGCUGGUCGUGAUGGGGAUAGACUUUUGCAAUUUUUGGUCUUCAACGAGGAAUUCCUAGUAAACGCAAGUCAUCAACUUGCAUUGAUUACGUCCCUGCCCUUUGUACACACUGCCCGUCGCACCUACCGAUUGAAUGGUCCGGUGAAGCCUCCGGAUUGGCGCGCACCCCGGUGCCGCCGAGAAGUUGGCUAAACCUUACCAUUUAGAGGAAGGUGAANUCGUANCA